GUCGACGCACACGGAGGAAAGCGAGCCCGGCUGAGGAGAGACGCCGUCGUCAUGGCGACCGAAGGCCGCUCCGAGCAGAUGGAGAAGCCGCGGCGCUUUGAAAUGGAAAAUGGUGAAACAGAAACUUGUGACUCAACUUAUGCCCCGUGUUCUGUAACUUCAGAAAGAAGUUGUGGUGUUUCAACUUCACCCUUGACUUUAUGUCAAAGGAAUGUAGAUACUACAGUACUGAAAAA
Molecule: long non-coding RNA, 236 nt
Organism: Lacerta agilis (Sand lizard)
Lineage: Eukaryota; Metazoa; Chordata; Lepidosauria; Squamata; Lacertidae
Exons: 2
Source: RefSeq, a predicted model, not a curated record